This 409-nucleotide ribosomal RNA is filed under the name uncultured soil bacterium. RNAcentral's name for it is "bacterial SSU rRNA". It matches the Rfam family "Bacterial small subunit ribosomal RNA", at positions 26 to 431 of the family's 1533-position model. The record is from RNAcentral.
AGAUUGAACGCUGGCGGCAGGCCUAACACAUGCAAGUCGAGCGGUAGAGAGGUGCUUGCACCUCUUGAGAGCGGCGGACGGGUGAGUAAUGCCGUAGGAAGUCUGCCUAGUGGUGGGGGAUAACGUUCGGAAACGGACGCUAAUACCGGCAUACGUCCUACGGGAGAAAGCGGGGGUACCUUCGGGCCUCGCGCCAUUAGAUGAGCCUAGGUCGGAUUAGCUAGUUGGUGAGGUAAUGGCUCACCAAGGCGACGAUCCGUAACUGGUCUGAGAGGAUGAUCAGUCACACUGGAACUGAGACGCGUCCAGACUCCGUACGGGAGCAGCAGUGGGAAUAUUGGACAAUGGGCGAAAGCCUGAUCCAGCCAUCGCGCGUGUGUAGAAGUAAGGUCUUACGGAUUAGUAAAGC